Molecule: long non-coding RNA, 2741 nt
Filed under: Mus musculus (house mouse)
Lineage: Eukaryota; Metazoa; Chordata; Mammalia; Rodentia; Muridae
Description: long non-coding RNA chr19:32800099-32802840
Source: RNAcentral
GUAAGCUGUUUACUUUUUCCUUCCUCCCUCUUUGUGGACCAAGAAUUUAUUGGGAAACAGGUUUUCUCCCUCUUGCUUUAUUGAGGUAUAACCAACAAAGUCUUAAUCUACUUACAGUGUGAUGCUUUGAGAACUGUUAUAUUGUGGUUGUAUCCACUUAGUGUAUCCCUCAUCCCUGGUAUCCCCACCCUCUUCCUUAGCUGUACUGAGAACAUCCAAGACCUACCUGGAGUAGGUGCUAGGCACACAGUAUGGAUUUUGAUGACAACUUGAAUGCCAUUACCUAGUAAAGCAAGGUAUUUAAUUUGAUGGUAAAUAAAACAUUUUCUGAUGGGGGUAUUCACUAGUAUAGUUAACUAAUCAAAGAUUCAUUGGUUAUUCAGAAAACUAAAGACUGUUGAAUUAGUGGCAUGUUUUGUCUAUGGUACAAUUGAAAACAAAAGCAAAUUCUUGGACUGCUUUUUCAGAGGACUCGUUUAGUUAGUGUAACACCAAGAUUCUUUGCAUGUUUUUCUUUCUCCAAGCACAGCACCUAUAGUACUUCAGAUGAAUUGAAAGCUCAGGGUAGCAGUGAAAGUGCCCCAACAUAAGGUCAUAAACUCACUUAACCUUUGAGUUGGUUUGCAGUCUUUUUUGUAGACAUUGUAAGUGACAACAUCAGUUUGCAAUGCCAAGGGUUGGACAUGGCUGCUCUGGGGAGUAAGACAUUUGAAACUUGAUUCUAGUAUUAAAUUUGGACUUGUGCCCCACCCCCGCUUCUCUUCUGCCUCCUCUCCCUUCUGUCUUUCUCCUCCUCUACUCCAUUCUUCCCCCUUCUCCUUUUUUUGAGCCCUGAUUUUAUCUGGAUCAACUUUGGGCCAUGCCCAUCACACUAAGGUCUGUGGCUGCAGCGGUCCUGGGCCCUGUACUUCUCUUUCACCUGCUUUUUAAAAACCCUGUCGUUAUAACUCUUUUGAGUUUGUACAAGAAUAUCAAGACUGUUUGUUCAUUGGUGGGAGUUCACAAAAUUACAUCUUUAAUGCAGUAAAAAAGUCAUGUGUUAGAAAAUCAGAUUUAAGCUAGAGACUCCUCAACUCUGACUCCCGAUGAAGUGUUCAGAUGUUCUGUUAUUCGAUGUAUGUGGUAUAUACAUAACCAUAAAUUGUUGUUGGUAGCUUCCAUUUGCCUUCAGACAAAAUAUAAAGGAACUUCUAACAAAUUAUGUCUCAUUUCUCCCAUUUAAAAAAUCAGUACCCCUUACCUGAGAACAGUAGGUAUCUAAAUGGGUUGAUUCUGUUCAAUAGUGAAAUUUAUGAUAAACAAGUUUUAAAAACAAGUUGAAAGCUUGCCAUUGUUUGACUCUUACAUCAUCCUUGCUCUCAGUGUUAUUUUUAUUCUUGUUUAGUGAAAAUAAAUUAUGAAAACUCUUAUUUCACCUAUGAGAGAAAUAUGGAACAUAAUAUGUUUUUGACCAAUUAAAGUAGGCUGUGUCAGAUAAAAUCUCUAAGACUAGAUACGAUCAUCUAUUAGUUUCUUUGCCUUCAAGAUCAUUAUCUCUGUGGGGCAGGAAAAGAUUAUGGACCAUUUUAAUUUUCAGGUUAAAGCAUUAAACUGCUUGACAGCACAGCGUUGUCUGGCUUCUAGAUAUCAGUGGACCUGUGUGCAGUGAAGAGCUUUCUAGGUCCUUCUGUCUGUUGACAAAGCCUCUUGAGAUUCUCUUGCUUGAAGGUCUUGGCUCUCUCUUGUGAAUUUGGGUCUUUCACAGCAGUAGGUUUUUCAUGACAAAUCAUCAGCAGGGGAACUUUUCACAACUGUAGAAGAGAGUCUCCUAGGAUUAAUGUGAUCUUGCUACCCAGUGCAGCAGUGAGGGCCAGGGCAGAGAUAUCAUCCACUUUUACCAGUGCAGGGAAACCAGAGGAGCUGCAGGGAAAGCUGCUAGAGUGUGGAGGACUCUUAGGGCCAGCGAUGUGCUCAGCCAUUUUUAUUUAACUUUUUUACAUUAAGACUUUUCAGUUCUUUGAGACUGUAAUAAAUUAUAUCAUGAGUAUGUAUGUAUGUGUAGUACAACCUGUGGAUAUGUUUUUAGGGCUUACCAUUUGGAUAACAAAUUGGCAUGCUCUCUUAGCAUUUCUUAGUUACCAGUAGAUCUUUGUCUAGGGUUGAGGCUUGGUCAGCUUUCUCCCAUUCUGGCAUGUCUUUUGUUCUCCUUGCUCAGCUCAUGUUUGGUAGUCAUGUUGAUGAGACUUUAUGGGUGUAGCUUCUGACAUUGCCAGUAGACAAUCUCACAGCAAACUCCCAGAUCCUCUACCUCUUACAGUCUCUAAGCCUUCGUCUACAAUGGUCCCUGAGCUGUAGGUGCAGUUAUUGUGUUGUAGAUGGCUCAGUUGGAACUGAGUUCCACAACUCUGUGUUUUGAACUGUUGUGGUUUUCUGCAAUGUUUUCCUUAUGCUACAAAGAGAAAUUUCCUUGAUGAGGGAUAAGCACUAUGCUUAUCUAUUGGUAUAAAUUUAGAGCAUAGUUAUGGACUAUAUAUAUUAUUUAGUAAAUUAGUGGUUGUAGGUUCUCUGUCAAGAAGCAUGACUUCCCUAGCCCAAGGUAGUUGGCUAGGUUUCCAAUACCAGGCAGUUUCUCUGUCUUUAAGGGGAUUUAAAAUUUUUAUUUGUUUAUCUGUCCAUCCAUCUGUCCAUCUGUCUGAAAUCUAUCUAUCCGUCCACCCAUUUAGGUGAGGCCUGAGAGACAGAGUCAAGGAAAUGUCACCAUC